AACGAACGCUGGCGGCAUGCCUAACACAUGCAAGUCGAACGAGACCUUCGGGUCUAGUGGCGCACGGGUGCGUAACGCGUGGGAACCUGCCCUUAGGUUCGGAAUAACUCCCCGAAAGGGGUGCUAAUACCGGAUAAUGUCUUCGGACCAAAGAUUUAUCGCCUUUGGAUGGGCCCGCGUUGGAUUAGCUAGUUGGUAGGGUAAAAGCCUACCAAGGCGACGAUCCAUAGCUGGUCUGAGAGGAUGAUCAGCCACACUGGGACUGAGACACGGCCCAGACUCCUACGGGAGGCAGCAGUGGGGAAUAUUGGACAAUGGGCGAAGGGCUGAUCCAGCUAUGCCGCGUGAGUGAUGAAGGCCUUAGGGUUGUAAAGCUCUUUUACCCGGGAUGAUAAUGACAGUACCGGGAGAAUAAGCUCCGGCUAACUCCGUG
This 433-nucleotide ribosomal RNA is filed under the name uncultured bacterium. RNAcentral's name for it is "partial 16S ribosomal RNA". It matches the Rfam family "Bacterial small subunit ribosomal RNA", at positions 29 to 507 of the family's 1533-position model. The record is from RNAcentral.